GUUGAAAUACACAUUUAGAGAAUAAUUAUCAGUAUUUAAGCAGAACUGGACUGGAACAUGUUGAGAGAAUCUGCAAUGACAUGCUCCAUGCAGACCCUCUGGGGAGGAUUCAGAACUCAAGGACUUUCCACAACGGGGCCUAGCACCGACACUGUGGUGCACACAGCCCUCUGCUGAAAAUAGUCUGAGUACAGAGGCACCAAACGAGUUCCUUUCUAAUGGCUGCUACCUGAUGUUCCUGUGAGGAAAUUUAACUUGGGAGCACAGGCCACUCUCAAAUGAGAUUCCAGUCACAAAUUCAGCCCCAUGACAAUAAUCAAAACCAAUCAAAUGCAGGAGAUGUGACCUAAAAUAUCAAAAUAAAACUGUUGAUGAAUAUGAACUCCCUUGCAGAAGACACAGCAGGAAUGGGUCAUUAGACCAUAACUUGGUAAGGGUAACAGACAGUAAAGACACUGGACCAAAGAAACCAAGAGAAUUUGGUGGAAUGAGAGGUGAUUAAAACUGGGCAAGUGUGAAAAAAUCCCAGGGACACUGCAACAAGGUUUCUGAAGGUGGGAAUACAAAUGAAAAAUAAAAAUGCAAGGAAUUUUUUAUACAUAGUAACACCUUGAUGGCAUUUGUAUCUCAGCA
Molecule: long non-coding RNA, 633 nt
Organism: Oxyura jamaicensis (ruddy duck)
Lineage: Eukaryota; Metazoa; Chordata; Aves; Anseriformes; Anatidae
Exons: 3
Source: RefSeq, a predicted model, not a curated record